Long non-coding RNA from Triticum aestivum (bread wheat), 990 nucleotides. RefSeq lists it as uncharacterized. The record is from RefSeq and is a predicted model, not a curated record. The transcript has 4 exons. Lineage: Eukaryota; Viridiplantae; Streptophyta; Magnoliopsida; Poales; Poaceae.
AGCAGCGGAAGAUCAAGGAUUGGGCCAAGCAUCACAGGAAGUAUGUCGUACAGUUCGCGCUUAGUGUGGAGCAAGCUAGGGAUGGAAAACGAGCCCAACUUCGUGAGCACUGCCCGAUCGCGUUCAACAACUAUCUCAUAUGGUUUCUUGCAAGUACCCGUGUGGAGGUAUGCAAGCCGGCGUAUGCUGAGGAGAUUUUGGAAGAUCCCACCGUUUUUGAUGAGCUAGCCCAGCACCAAUAGUCAGGAAAGGCAACUCAGUGAUUCCUUCAGCUCCAAUGAUGAACUUUGUGCGUGCCCAGAUCAAGAAAGCAACUGAUGAGACCGAGACUAUUCUGGAAACAACCCGGCUGGCAAAAGCGACGGGGAAGGUGCACUUAGAGCAUUCAUUAAGCGCCAGGGCCAAAAGUUAAGGCGGCUAUCAAACCUUUUAGGUUGUUGUGACCCCGAAUAUGUAUCACCAGAAUGGUCUAGGUCAGCGACACCAUCAGGUCCCACUUCGGGCCAGGGCCAUGGUGAUCCUUUGGAGGAUGAGGAUGUGGGUGUGAUCACCCAAGAGGUUAUUGAUGAUAUGACCUUGGGGACAUACCAGGUUCGGUCUGCAUACCAGUUAAAGCCUAGGAAGGAAUCAACAAAUACACACCUGAAGACUUCACCCAAAGAGGCAAAAGGAUGGUCGGCACCUCGCGGAUGGCGGCUUUGGAUGACUAUUUGGAUGACAAUGUGGAUGACAUGGAGGAACCGGAGCCGGAGCCGGAGCGGGUUCCUCUUCCUAGGAAGGUGAAGAAGAUCUCCGUCAAGAGGGGGGAGGAGCCAAAAAGUGCUCAAGGAACUAGUCAUCGUCCUCUAUUUGUAAUGUUGAACUUGGAGUGGUGGUAGCUCUUAGUAAUGUGAAACUUAUUAUGUCGUUGAACUUGGAGUGGUGGUAGCUCUAUGUUAAAUUUGAAGUUGUGGCAUCUCUUAGUAAUGUGGAACUUGUUAUGUCGUUGAA